CCUACGGGUGGCAGCAGUGAGGAAUAUUGGUCAAUGGACGGAACUCUGAACCAGCCAUGCCGCGUGCAGGAUGACGGCUCUAUGAGUUGUAAACUGCUUUUUUACAGGGGUAAACCUGAAUACGUGUAGUCUACUGAAGGUACUGCACGAAUAAGGAUCGGCUAAUUCCGUGCCAGCAGCCGCGGUAAUACGGAGGGUCCAGGCGUUAUCCGGAUUUAUUGGGUUUAAAGGGUGCGUAGGCGGAUUGAUAAGUUAGAGGUGAAAUGUCCGAGCUUAACUCGGGAACUGCAUCGCAUACUGUUGAUCUAGAGAGUAGAUGAGGUAGGCGGAAUUCGUGGUGUAGCGGUGAAAUGCUUAGAGAUCAUACAGAACACCGAUUGCGAAGGCAGCUUACCAAAAUAUAUCUGACGUUGAGGCACGAAAGCGUGGGGAGCAAACAGGAUUAGAUACCCCAGUAGUC
Molecule: ribosomal RNA, 460 nt
Filed under: uncultured bacterium
Lineage: Bacteria
Description: partial 16S ribosomal RNA
Rfam family: Bacterial small subunit ribosomal RNA
Source: RNAcentral